AGCGUGCGAUUGGAUUGCACGUCUAAGCAGUAAGGCUGAGUAUUAGGCAAAUCCGGUACUCGUUAAGGCUGAGCUGUGAUGGGGAGAAGACAUUGUGUCUUCGAGUCGUUGAUUUCACACUGCCGAGAAAAGCCUCUAGAUAGAAAAUAGGUGCCCGUACCGCAAACCGACACAGGUAGUCAAGAUGAGAAUUCUAAGGUGAGCGAGCGAACUCUCGUUAAGGAACUCGGCAAAAUGACCCCGUAACUUCGGGAGAAGGGGUGCUCUUUAGGGUUAACGCCCAGAAGAGCCGCAGUGAAUAGGCCCAAGCGACUGUUUAUCAAAAACACAGGUCUCUGCUAAACCGUAAGGUGAUGUAUAGGGGCUGACGCCUGCCCGGUGCUGGAAGGUUAAGAGGAGUGGUUAGCUUCUGCGAAGCUACGAAUCGAAGCCCCAGUAAACGGCGGCCGUAACUAUAACGGUCCUAAGGUAGCGAAAUUCCUUGUCGGGUAAGUUCCGACCCGCACGAAAGGCGUAACGAUUUGGGCACUGUCUCAACGAGAGACUCGGUGAAAUCAUAGUACCUGUGAAGAUGCAGGUUACCCGCGACAGGACGGAAAGACCCCGUGGAGCUUUACUGUAGCCUGAUAUUGAAAUUCGGCACAGCUUGUACAGGAUAGGUAGGAGCCUUUGAAACGUGAGCGCUAGCUUACGUGGAGGCGCUGGUGGGAUACUACCCUAGCUGUGUUGGCUUUCUAACCCGCACCACUUAUCGUGGUGGGAGACAGUGUCAGGCGGGCAGUUUGACUGGGGCGGUCGCCUCCUAAAAGGUAACGGAGGCGCUCAAAGGUUCCCUCAGAAUGGUUGGAAAUCAUUCAUAGAGUGUAAAGGCAUAAGGGAGCUUGACUGCGAGACCUACAAGUCGAGCAGGGUCGAAAGACGGACUUAGUGAUCCGGUGGUUCCGCAUGGAAGGGCCAUCGCUCAACGGAUAAAAGCUACCCCGGGGAUAACAGGCUUAUCUCCCCCAAGAGUUCACAUCGACGGGGAGGUUUGGCACCUCGAUGUCGGCUCAUCGCAUCCUGGGGCUGUAGUCGGUCCCAAGGGUUGGGCUGUUCGCCCAUUAAAGCGGUACGCGAGCUGGGUUCAGAACGUCGUGAGACAGUUCGGUCCCUAUCCGUCGUGGGCGUAGGAAAUUUGAGAGGAGCUGUCCUUAGUACGAGAGGACCGGGAUGGACAUACCUCUGGUGUACCAGUUGUCGUGCCAACGGCAUAGCUGGGUAGCUAUGUGUGGACGGGAUAAGUGCUGAAAGCAUCUAAGCAUGAAGCCCCCCUCAAGAUGAGAUUUCCCAACUUCGGUUAUAAGAUCCCUCAAAGAUGAUGAGGUUAAUAGGUUCGAGGUGGAAGCAUGGUGACAUGUGGAGCUGACGAAUACUAAUCGAUCGAAGACUUAAUCAA
This 1435-nucleotide ribosomal RNA is filed under the name Staphylococcus aureus. RNAcentral's name for it is "partial 23S ribosomal RNA". It matches the Rfam family "Bacterial large subunit ribosomal RNA", at positions 1489 to 2925 of the family's 2925-position model. Lineage: Bacteria; Bacillati; Bacillota; Bacilli; Caryophanales; Staphylococcaceae. The record is from RNAcentral. RNAcentral also lists the same sequence under 3 other names.